UUUUCCUUUGCAGAUAUUUGCUAUGGUAAUUGCUGGUUUUCAGUUCUCAGAAGUCACUGCCACAUAACCAGAGGGUGGCUGACAGACCAGUUGUCUUAAAAGCUUUGGUUCUGCAGACUUGCUCAUCUGCUGUUCAGUAGCAACAUAAAAUAGCAACACAGGUUCUUAUAGUGCCAAAUCAUCCUGACUCUGCAGACAGCUCUUUCCAUAAUGUGCAUGAAAAGAUUAAAAGCCUGUAUCUACAGUCCUGCAGCACAGAGAAAAGAAAUCCUGAUCAUGUUAACCUCUGACAAUUUCACUUUUGCUGUGGGAACAUGAUGGGCUAUUUUCCAUUUCCUCAGAAGCUCGUUGGAAUUUACCCUGGAAUUCAUGUGAGAGCUUCAGCACUGUUGCACCAUCCUAUUCUUCCCUUUGGCUUCAAAGGGACUAUGCCAGCGCUGACUGCCAUCAUCCCUUUACCUUCUGGGCCCUGGUCCUGUGCUCCCACAUUAAAAGCUUUGUUGCUCUAAGAAGGUGUGUGCCAUCAUUGGGAGGGAAUGUACAACCCCUGGUGCCAGUGAGCCUGACUGGGGCAGGAGCCUCCUGGGGUUUGUGGGGAGAG
This 601-nucleotide long non-coding RNA is filed under the name Manacus vitellinus (golden-collared manakin). RNAcentral describes it as "lncRNA (ENSMVIG00005015387.1)". The record is from RNAcentral. Lineage: Eukaryota; Metazoa; Chordata; Aves; Passeriformes; Pipridae.